AACUCGCCUUAAGAUGAGAUAUCCCUGGGGACUAGAUCCCCUUGAAGGGUCGUUCGAGACCAGGACGUUGAUAGGUCGGGUGUGUAAGCGCAGUAAUGCGUUCAGCUAACCGAUACUAAUUGCCCGUAAGGCUUGAUCCUAUAACA
This 146-nucleotide ribosomal RNA is filed under the name Burkholderia sp. MSMB2157WGS. RNAcentral's name for it is "partial 23S ribosomal RNA". It matches the Rfam family "Bacterial large subunit ribosomal RNA", at positions 2791 to 2925 of the family's 2925-position model. The record is from RNAcentral. Lineage: Bacteria; Pseudomonadati; Pseudomonadota; Betaproteobacteria; Burkholderiales; Burkholderiaceae.